UACGUAGGCAGCAAGCGUUGUUCGGAGUUACUGGGCGUAAAGAGUGCGUAGGUGGUGCCCUAAGUCUGUUGUGAAAUCUCCCGGCUUAACUGGGAGGGUGCGGUGGAAACUGGGGUGCUUGAGUGUGGGAGAGGUAAGCGGAAUUCCUGGUGUAGCGGUGAAAUGCGUAGAUAUCAGGAGGAACACCGGUGGUGUAGACGGCUUACUGGACCACGACUGACACUGAGGCACGAAGGCCAGGGGAGCAAACGGG
Molecule: ribosomal RNA, 253 nt
Filed under: uncultured bacterium
Lineage: Bacteria
Description: partial 16S ribosomal RNA
Rfam family: Bacterial small subunit ribosomal RNA
Source: RNAcentral